UACGUAGGGGGCGAGCGUUGCCCGGAAUUACUGGGCGUAAAGGGAACGUAGGUGGCUCUUAAAGUCAGGUGUGAAAAUAACGAAGCUUAACAGGUUAAUGCGCUUGAAACUAAAGGGCUUGAGGGCAAUAGAGGGAGAUGGAAUUACCUGUGUAGGGGUGAAAUCCGCAGAUAUAGGUAAGAAGGCCGGUGGGGAAGCCGAUCUCCUGGGUUGACUCUGACACUGAGGUUCGAAAGCUAGGGGAGCAAACCGGAUUAGAUACC
Molecule: ribosomal RNA, 263 nt
Filed under: uncultured bacterium
Lineage: Bacteria
Description: partial 16S ribosomal RNA
Rfam family: Bacterial small subunit ribosomal RNA
Source: RNAcentral